Molecule: ribosomal RNA, 572 nt
Filed under: Melampsora medusae f. sp. tremuloides
Lineage: Eukaryota; Fungi; Basidiomycota; Pucciniomycetes; Pucciniales; Melampsoraceae
Description: eukaryotic LSU rRNA
Rfam family: 5.8S ribosomal RNA (bases 184-338)
Source: RNAcentral
GAGUUGCUUAAAUGCGAUUCUUUGUAUACUAUUUACCCCCACCAACCCAGAGGUGCAUUGUGGCCUUUAAUUAGGUUAGCAGUGUAUCAGUACGUAUGACAAAGGCAACUUUGGCUUACAUUACAUAUAAGUUACCCCCCAUUUACACUUAAGAAGUUUUAAGAAUGAUACCUAUAACUAUAUAACUUUCAGCAAUGGAUCUCUAGGCUCUCACGUCGAUGAAGAACACAGUGAAAUGUGAUACGUAAUGUGAAUUGCAUAAUUCAGUGAAUCAUCGAAUCUUUGAACGCACUUUGCACCUUUUGGUUAUUCCGAGAGGUACGCCUGUUUGAAUGUCACGAAACCCCCCUCGUCUUUAACGCUUUCUAAAAGAGUUAUUGACGGAUUCUGAGUGUUGGCGUGUCAACGCCUCGCUUUAAAUAUAUCAGCACUUUUGGAUGGUUACAUGUUAGUUCAAAAGACGUACUUGAUGUCGUAUUUAUACAAUUCAUCGAGAUGGUCUUUGGUCGUAUCGACUAUCCGCUAAUAUGACGACUUGAAGAAUAGCUUCCUAACCCCAUUGAAUUUACCUU